Molecule: non-coding RNA, 73 nt
Organism: Octopus bimaculoides (California two-spot octopus)
Lineage: Eukaryota; Metazoa; Mollusca; Cephalopoda; Octopoda; Octopodidae
Source: Rfam
AGUAGUUUAGCUUAAUUGGUAAAGCACUUGACCUGUAAUCAAAGGGAUGUGAGUUCGAGUCUCAUGGCUGGUU